UUACCAGUUUGACAUAAAAGAGAUCCGCAAGGGACAGGUGGUGCAUGGCUGUCGUCAGCUCGUGUCGUGAGAUGUUGGGUUAAGUCCCGCAACGAGCGCAACCCUAUCAAUGUUGCCAGCACAUGGGACUCAUUGAGACUGCCGGGGUUAAUCGGAGGAAGGUGGGGAUGACGUCAAGUCCUCAUGCCCCUUAUGCUGGGCUGCAAACACGCUACAAUGGGAUACAAGGGGCUUCGCGAGAUUAGCAAUCCCGAAAUCGUCUCAGUUCGAAUUGAAGUCUGCAACUCGACUUCAUGAAGCUGGAGUUGCUAGUAAUCCCGAUCAGCACGCGGGGUGAAUACGUUCCCGGGCCUUGUACACACCGCCCGUCACACCACGAAAGUCGGAAACCAAA
Molecule: ribosomal RNA, 394 nt
Filed under: uncultured bacterium
Lineage: Bacteria
Description: bacterial SSU rRNA
Rfam family: Bacterial small subunit ribosomal RNA
Source: RNAcentral